GGAUAAUACAUUUUUUAAAUGCUUUUUUUUUCCCCUCCAUUAGGUUUCUGCCUCCUUUAAUGAACUAGACAGAACUUUAAGCUCAGGUUUGCCUCAGUUCAUAUAAACAAACAGAAUGCCUACUCUCCUGAAUGGGGGAGGUCCAGAAAAGGAUAUCAUGUCCCAGUGAUGUGGGAAGGUUUUCUGGUGGUUUGUGGCCAAGGACCACCGUCCUACAGCAAGGUGCUACAGCAAAUCAGCCACUCUGAUUUGGCAUCUCCUUUGGCUGAGUUACAGAGCAGAGUUUCUGAGGCUCAGAAUUAUAAUCCUGCUUCCUCCCCUUUGUCUAUGGCUAUUCUCAAGGAUAUUUAUUUCUUCUGGCACUCCUGAUGCUUCCCAUUGCUUGAAGCAGGAACACACCUCAUGCCGGGGAACCAAAGAUGGGAAAGGAUGCUGAGAAUAAUACCAAGCCUGACUUCCUUAUGGGUAGAGACAGGGUUUCACGAUGUUGACCAGGCUGGUUUCGAACUCCUGACCUCGUGAUCCGCUCACCUUGGCCUCCCAAAAUGCUGGGAUUACAGGCCUGAGCCACCGUGCCCUGCCUGAAUUUCUUUUUUUUUUUUUUUAAACAUCUAGUUUAGUGCAUUUUAUAAAAAGAAAGUUAUAUUUGUAAGGAAAGCUCAUAUUUUAAACAUCAAAUGUAUGAGUUAAAAUUCACAUGCAAUAAUAUUUACAGCAAUAAAGUUAUGGAGCAUUUUUUGUUGUGUUUACUCAGAUUGUAUACCUGAAAUAUGUAACCAACCUGUAUUAAUUUUCUCUCUUUCUCCUACUAUUUCUAUCUGCCCAGAAAAUUUUUUCUAUUGCAAUUUUUCCCAUCCCCAAGCAACCACUGAUUAGAGAUACUUAGUUUUCUCUAUUUUAGAAUUUAUAGAAAUGGAAAUAUAUAGUAUGCAUUGAUUUGUAUCUGGCUUAUUUUGCUCAGCAUAAUGUCUGUAAAUUCAUCUGUGUUGUGGUAUGCAUGAAUAGUUUGCUCCAUUUUAUUAUUAUAUAUUACUCUAUUGUACUAAUAAACCAGAAUAGUCUUUCAAUUCACCUUUCUGUGAAUAUUUAGAUUGUUUUCAAAGUUUUUUUUUUCUAUUUUGCAUUAGGCUAUUAUGAACAAUCGUUUGCAAGUCUUUGUGGACAUAUGUUUUUCUUGUGUCUUAUAAAUUCCUUUCGAAAUCUCUGGGUUAUGUGUUACAUGCAUAUUUAAACUUUAAAACAAACUACCAAACUGUCAAAACAGUUGUGCCAGUUUAUAUUCCUAUCCGCAAUAUAUUAGAGCUCCAAGUGCUGAGUGUCUCUUAAAGGUUUUCCAAUAUUAGAGAAGUUGUAUUAUUAUGAAUUUAUAAGAAUUCUUUAUAUAUUCUCAAUAUAAAUACUUUGAUAUAUAAUGGAUAUAAUUAUUUUCAUUCGAUGGCUUGCCUUUUUACUUUGCUGAAAAUGUUUUUAUAAGAUGACAGAAAUUUUCUUUUUUAUCAAAUAAAAUUUGUGAGAACGAUUUUAAGUAUGAAUUUAAAGGGUUUAGUAGCUACAAAGUGAUUCAGAUUUUCUAUUUCACCUUCAGGUGUGGUAAACUGUUCUCAAGGAUUUCACCUAAUAUAUUAAGUUGUAGCAUUUAUUGACAUAAAGUUGUUCAGAGUGUUUCUUCAUCUUCUUUUAUUGUCUGGAGAAAUUGUUGUGACAAACACAUUUUCACUUCAGAUACUGGCAAAUUUUGUAUCUGUUCUUUUUUAUUGUUCUUGGCUAUGGAUUAUGAUUUUACUAAGAGUUCUUUAUUUUUCAUGUAUUAUUUAUUUCAUUUAAGUCUACUCUUAUGUUCAUUACUUUUCCUCUAUUUAGACAACUGAAUUUCAGUUUUUUUCUGAUAUGUAUAUUAAAAUCUAAAAACUUUGCACUAAGUACUACUUUCUAUAUCUCACACAUUUCAAAAUAUUGUGUCUACUUUCAUGUAAUUUGUUACGUUGUGUUUUCAUGUAAUUUGUUAUGUUGUGUUUUAUAAUCAGUUUGACGUUUUUAAUACCUUUGUGAUUUCUUUUUUGACUCAUAUCUUUAGAAGUGUGUCAUUUAAUUUCCAAAUGAGGGAACUUUUAGAUACCCGUUACUGAUUUCUAAUUAAAUGUCUUUUCAGUCAAAAGUUACACUAUAAUAAGAUUGUACUUCUUUUAAACAAACAAACAAACAAAGUUUGUUUUUGGUAAAAGUUCUGUGUGCACUUAAAUACAUUGUGUAAUUGGCA
Molecule: long non-coding RNA, 2257 nt
Filed under: Homo sapiens (human)
Lineage: Eukaryota; Metazoa; Chordata; Mammalia; Primates; Hominidae
Description: HSALNT0153299
Source: RNAcentral